Molecule: ribosomal RNA, 381 nt
Filed under: uncultured bacterium
Lineage: Bacteria
Description: bacterial SSU rRNA
Rfam family: Bacterial small subunit ribosomal RNA
Source: RNAcentral
GCCCAGUCGUGGGGAUAACGUAGGGAAACUUACGCUAAUACCGCAUGCGCCUUCGGGGGAAAGCCGGGGACCUUCGGGCCUGGCGCGAUUGGAUGAGCCCACGUCGGAUUAGCUAGUUGGCGGGUAAAGGCCCACCAAGGCGACGAUCCGUAGCUGGUCUGAGAGGAUGAUCAGCCACACUGGAACUGAGACACGGUCCAGACUCCUACGGGAGGCAGCAGUAGGGAAUAUUGGACAAUGGGCGCAAGCCUGAUCCAGCCAUGCCGCGUGAGUGAAGAAGGCCCUCGGGUUGUAAAGCUCUUUUGUCCGGAAAGAAAAGCGCCGGGUUAAUACCCUGGUGUCCUGACGGUACCGGAAGAAUAAGCACCGGCUAACUUCGUG